This 253-nucleotide ribosomal RNA is filed under the name uncultured bacterium. RNAcentral describes it as "partial 16S ribosomal RNA". It matches the Rfam family "Bacterial small subunit ribosomal RNA", at positions 524 to 776 of the family's 1533-position model. The record is from RNAcentral.
UACGUAGGGUGCGAGCGUUAAUCGGAAUUACUGGGCGUAAAGUGUGCGCAGGCGGUUCUGAAAGUCAGCUGUGAAAGCCCCGGGCUUAACCUGGGAAUGGCGGUUGAAACUACAGGACUAGGAUCUGGCAGAGGGGGGUGGAAUUCCACGUGUAGCAGUGAAAUGCGUAGAGAUGUGGAGGAACACCGAUGGCGAAGGCAGCCCCCUGGGCUGAGAUUGACGCUCAGGCACGAAAGCGUGGGGAGCAAACAGG